Molecule: non-coding RNA, 2158 nt
Organism: Danio rerio (zebrafish)
Lineage: Eukaryota; Metazoa; Chordata; Actinopteri; Cypriniformes; Danionidae
Source: RefSeq, a predicted model, not a curated record
AUGGGUGCAACAACAAUGUGGAUUUUAAGUUAUUGUUUAGCAGUACUUUUAGCCCUUGGAGCAUGUGAUGUUGCAGCUGUGUAUGCAUAUAGCCCUGGUAGCAAUGGUGGACCUCUUGGACCUAAUAAUCCCAGCAAGAGUACAUUUUUACAGUGCUUCAUUUAAAGGGGGCUAUGACACCGGAAGCUACAGUUCCCAGGCUAGUUCUUCAGGCAUUCUCAUGACUGUUGAUAAAACAGGCUCUGAUUCUUCCACUAGAAGCCAACUUCAAGGAUCUAGUGUUGAUUCAACAGGAAGUGAUAGUCUUGUUUAUGGUACUGUGGGAAAUGCAGUGAGUAUUGGCACGUCUGGAAAUGAUGCGAGUUUGUCUUCUACUGUCCAAGGAUCUGACGUAAUCCGUUCUUCUGUCUUGAUGCCAUUGCAACAAAGCAGUUAUUCUGUUCCUGAGCCAGUGCUGCUGACUGCCCAAGUGCAGACUGUCCCCUAUUCCAACAGUCAGCAACCAGCAAGUUCUGAAACCAUGGCCCAGUCUAGACCUCUGCUGUUGUUCCAGUCUAGUGACCAACGACUACCACAGCCUAGUUCCCAGACUGCAGUGCAUGCUGGUAGAAAACCCCAUAAACCUCUGAAAGGUAAACACCAGCAAUCUGGUUCCAAUAUUGUUAUCGGUUCCAGGCCAGUUCAAAAUCCAGUAUUCAACACUUUGAAGCCUCUUAAACCAAAAGAAGAGCCUGCAUCACAUCCUAGCUUACAAAUAGUAGAAUAUGGCAGUGUGCCAAGCAGCCUAGCGGUAGCUGGCUAUGAACUUGUCAGCCAGUCCAGUGGCCAGACUCUAAAUCAACCAAGUGGUGUGCAGCCUCCAGAUGUUGUUGCCCUCUCUGUGGUCCAGCCCAGCAGCCAACUUAUUCAACAGGCAGUUGACACCUCUGUGGGCCAGGCCUCCAGCCAGCAGCUAGUUCUGACAAGCCAAUCUAUUUUCCAGUCAAAUAACCAGCAACCAGUACAUGGUAGUUCUGUCUUUACAGCUAAGCCAAGUGGUCUGACUCCUCUCAAGCCCCAUAAAGGAAGACAUCAGCUUGGGUUCAUGCUUCCAUCCAGUACAAGUACUCUCCAUACACCGAGUUCUAGUUUUGUAGUGCAGACCCCUAGCCAAAUACCAGUACAAGAUAGCUACAUAUCAGGAGUCCAGUCUGCUUCCCAAAAGCCAGGACAAACCAGCUACCUGUCUGUGCCCCAAAUAGUUGUCCAACCAGCACAAAUCAGCUACCAGUCUGUGGCUGAGCCCAGUGUCCAACAACCAGCACAUGUUAGCCUUUCUGUUGCAGCGUCUGCUCCCCAACCGGCACAACCCAGCUACCAGUGGGUGGCACAGCUAGGUCUCCAACAGCCAGCACAUGUCAGCUUAUCUGUAGCCCAACCAAUCAGCCGGCAAGCAGGACAAUCCACCUACGGGUAUGUUGUCGAGCAGAGUGGGCAACCUGUUUUCAAACCAGUGCAUUCUCAUGGGGUUCACCAGAUUGGCUCCAAGCUUUAUUCAUGCCAAGACUUGCCUCUGCACGGUUACCAGAGGAGAUUUCAGUCUCCACCUAGAACAAGUCUUUCAGCCCCAACUCUGCACACCAAGCCUAUUGUACAGUCCAGCGACCAGGCACCUGCAAAGCCUAACCAUCCCAGACCACUCGCAUCUACUCUACAAUCCAUUUUAAUCCCAGCUCAAGCGUUAUCUAGCCAGCAGUUUCUUUCUCGGCCCAGCUACACUCCCCAAGCUUUGCUAGUGGAACCCAUGUACCAACCUCUGGCACAAUCAAAUUCAGAGACCAUCUUCCUCGCUGAACACCAGAUAUCUCCUGUUCCAGGGCAGUUUGUUUCCCAGCCUCAAAUGCUUCCUAGUAGUCAGUCUCUCACUGAGUCAAGCUCUUCUUCCUCAGGCAUGCCAGUGCAGUCCAGCUACCAGCCUCUGGUCUCAUCAAGUUAUGAGACCGUCUUACAGCCUGGAUUUCAGACCUCUUCAGUUUUUCAGUCGGUUCAACCUAAACUUUCAGUUCCACUACAGGUGGAUUAUCAAUCUGUCACAGGUCAAAAUGCUCCUGGACCUACUCAAAACAAUCUGCACCCAUCCCAGAAGUUGUUCAGGCUGUUGCAACAAGUAAAGUCCUAG